Non-coding RNA from Misgurnus anguillicaudatus (oriental weatherfish), 685 nucleotides. The record is from RefSeq and is a predicted model, not a curated record. Lineage: Eukaryota; Metazoa; Chordata; Actinopteri; Cypriniformes; Cobitidae.
GAUUUGCCAGAUCAACUCCUGCUGGAUGCACAGGUAUUUUGGGCAGGUUCUUUCUGCUGUUGUCAGUAAAAUACUGUAUUAUGCGCAUUGCUUGUUAAUUGUUUUUUGUAUAUGUGGCAUGACCAGGGGGUGAGAGGUCAGCUUCAUGACGAAAGCAAAGAUUUUGCAUAAAAUUCCGACUACGCCACCCUGGGACUUACAACCAGGGAAAUAUUCCUUACACCCAAAAAGGCAGUAAAGGCACACAAGUUCGUCCCUCUUAAAAGGCAGAGUGAGCAAGAGACGUGGCUGUUGAAAGGCUCCUUUUGGAGCAGGUCGGAGAACUGCAGCUUAAAAUGGAUUACAUAAUCAAACUACUUCAAAAGAAUUCUUCUGUACCUCAUGAAGAUUUUAAUUUGAACAUGCUGCCACUGCUUACACUGCAAGACCUGAAGAACUUUGAUGACCAACUUCGGGCUGAUAGCACCUUUAAGAAGAAAGUGAUAACUAACUGUCAUUGUCUGGUGGCAAGAACUUAAAGGAAACAGUUUGGAGAGUUUGCACAAAAAUAUUUGAUCAGAAUCUUUCAACCCAGCUGAACUGGUGCGGUAGAGGUCAAAAGACAGGCCUUAAAUCACGGCCUAUUCAUCAGGUACUCCUGAGUAAGUCCUACAAUGUGUUGAAGCAACAUUCUGUCACUAUUCAA